CCUACCAUCAUUAGUUACCAUCAGGUAAGGCUGGGGACUCUAAUGAGACUGCCAUCGUAAGAUGUGAGGAAGGUGGGGAUGACGUCAAAUCAGCACGGCCCUUACGUCCGGGGCGACACACGUGUUACAAUGGGUGGUACAAAGGGCAGCUACCUGGCGACAGGAUGCUAAUCUCCAAAACCACUCUCAGUUCGGAUCGGAGUCUGCAACUCGACUCCGUGAAGCUGGAUUCGCUAGUAAUCGCGCAUCAGCCACGGCGCGGUGAAUACGUUCCCGGGCCUU
This 282-nucleotide ribosomal RNA is filed under the name uncultured Proteiniphilum sp. Its description in RNAcentral is "partial 16S ribosomal RNA". It matches the Rfam family "Bacterial small subunit ribosomal RNA", at positions 1098 to 1382 of the family's 1533-position model. Lineage: Bacteria; Pseudomonadati; Bacteroidota; Bacteroidia; Bacteroidales; Dysgonomonadaceae. The record is from RNAcentral.